AUGGCCCUGCGUUGUUCGAGUAUACGCUGGCAAUCCCGAUCCGAUAUAUCCAUUCAGGGGGCUAGGGUGGGCUAGUUGAUGACAUGCCUUCAUUGGACGUCAGACGCUCGCCUCAAGUCUCCGCCGUUAACCUAACUGGGGAACGGGAAAUCCGGCUAGACGGCAAAGGCGGGGCCACC
This 179-nucleotide non-coding RNA is filed under the name Pseudomonadota bacterium. RNAcentral describes it as "Proteobacteria bacterium (freshwater metagenome) 6S RNA". It matches the Rfam family "6S / SsrS RNA". Rfam says of the family: E. coli 6S RNA was the first non coding RNA to be sequenced, but its function was unknown until recently. It consists of 184 nucleotides that fold into an extended hairpin structure with a large single-stranded internal bulge. The 6S RNA specifically associates with RNA polymerase holoenzyme containing the sigma70 specificity factor. Lineage: Bacteria; Pseudomonadati; Pseudomonadota. The record is from RNAcentral. RNAcentral also lists the same sequence under 1 other name.